This 463-nucleotide ribosomal RNA is filed under the name uncultured Rhodocyclaceae bacterium. RNAcentral's name for it is "bacterial SSU rRNA". It matches the Rfam family "Bacterial small subunit ribosomal RNA", at positions 919 to 1382 of the family's 1533-position model. Lineage: Bacteria; Pseudomonadati; Pseudomonadota; Betaproteobacteria; Rhodocyclales; Rhodocyclaceae. The record is from RNAcentral.
ACCCGCACAAGCGGUGAUGAUGUGGAUUAAUUCGAUGCAACGCGAAAACCUUUACCUACCUUGACAUGUCCGGAAUCCCGAAGAGAUUUGGGAGUGCUCGCAAGAGAACCGGAACACAGGUGCUGCAUUGGCUGUCGUCAGCUCGUGUCGUGAGAUGUUGGGUUAAGUCCCGCAACGAGCGCAACCCUUGUCAUUAGUUGCCAUCAUUUGGUUGGGCACUCUAAUGAGACUGCCGGUGACAAACCGGAGGAAGGUGGGGAUGACGUCAAGUCCUCAUGGCUCUUAUGGGUAGGGCUUCACACGUCAUACAAUGGUCGGUACAGAGGGUUGCCAACCCGCGAGGGGGAGCUAAUCCCACAAAGCCGAUCGUAGUCCGGAUCGCAGUCUGCAACUCGACUGCGUGAAGUCGGAAUCGCUAGUAAUCGUGGAUCAGCAUGUCACGGUGAAUACGUUCCCGGGUCUU